RNAcentral lists this ribosomal RNA (253 nucleotides) under uncultured bacterium. Its description in RNAcentral is "partial 16S ribosomal RNA". It matches the Rfam family "Bacterial small subunit ribosomal RNA", at positions 334 to 583 of the family's 1533-position model. The record is from RNAcentral.
UCUUCCUACGGGGGGCAGCAGUGAGGAAUAUUGGUCAAUGGGCGCAAGCCUGAACCAGCCAAGUCGCGUGAGGGAUGACGGUCCUAUGGAUUGUAAACCUCUUUUGUCGGGGAGCAAGGCCCGCCACGUGUGGCGGGAAGGAGAGUACCCGAAGAAAAAGCAUCGGCUAACUACGUGCCAGCAGCCGCGGUAAUACGUAGGUGGCAAGCGUUGUCCGGCUUUAUUGGGCGUAAAGCGAGUGCAGGCGGUUUCA